CCAUCGGAUUCCCUAGUACUGCGAGUGAAGCGGGAAGAGCUCAAAUUUAAAAUCUGGCGGCCUUCUGGACGUCCGAGUUGUAGUCUGGAGAAGUGUUAUCCGCGUCGGACCGUGUACAAGUCUCCUGGAACGGAGCGUCAUAGAGGGUGAGAAUCCCGUCCAUGACACGGACGCCCGAUGCUAUGUGAGGCACUCUCGAAGAGUCGAGUUGUUUGGGAAUGCAGCUCAAAAUGGGUGGUAAAUUCCAUCUAAAGCUAAAUAUUGGCGAGAGACCGAUAGCGAACAAGUACCGUGAGGGAAAGAUGAAAAGCACUUUGGAAAGAGAGUUAAACAGUACGUGAAAUUGUUGAAAGGGAAACGCUUGAAGUCAGUCGCGUCCCGUGGAACUCAGCCUGGUUUCGACCUGGUGUACUUUCCAUGUGGACGGGUCAACAUCAAUUUCGGCCGGUGGACAAGGGCGAGGGGAAUGUAGCGUUGCUUCGGCGACGUGUUAUAGCCCCCCGUCGCAUACACUGGCUGGGAUCGAGGACCGCAGCACGCCCUUGUGGCCGGGGGUUCGCCCCACGUAACGUGCUUAGGAUGUUGGCAUAAUGGCUUUAAGCGACCCGUCUUGAAACAACGGACCA
This 626-nucleotide ribosomal RNA is filed under the name Sanghuangporus sanghuang. RNAcentral's name for it is "partial large subunit ribosomal RNA". It matches the Rfam family "Eukaryotic large subunit ribosomal RNA", at positions 66 to 668 of the family's 3401-position model. The record is from RNAcentral. Lineage: Eukaryota; Fungi; Basidiomycota; Agaricomycetes; Hymenochaetales; Hymenochaetaceae.